Molecule: small RNA, 29 nt
Filed under: Bombyx mori (domestic silkworm)
Lineage: Eukaryota; Metazoa; Arthropoda; Insecta; Lepidoptera; Bombycidae
Description: ovarian small RNA-36198
Source: RNAcentral
UGUUGUGUGACCCGCGAGCCUGCAACCCC